This 497-nucleotide ribosomal RNA is filed under the name uncultured bacterium. RNAcentral describes it as "partial 16S ribosomal RNA". It matches the Rfam family "Bacterial small subunit ribosomal RNA", at positions 28 to 507 of the family's 1533-position model. The record is from RNAcentral.
GAUGAACGCUGGCGGCGUGCCUAAUACAUGCAAGUCGAGCGAACAGACGAGGAGCUUGCUCCUCUGACGUUAGCGGCGGACGGGUGAGUAACACGUGGAUAACCUACCUAUAAGACUGGGAUAACUUCGGGAAACCGGAGCUAAUACCGGAUAAUAUAUUGAACCGCAUGGUUCAAUAGUGAAAGACGGUUUUGCUGUCACUUAUAGAUGGAUCCGCGCCGCAUUAGCUAGUUGGUAAGGUAACGGCUUACCAAGGCGACGAUGCGUAGCCGACCUGAGAGGGUGAUAGGUCACACUGGAACUGAGACACGGUCCAGACUCCUACGGGAGGCAGCAGUAGGGAAUCUUCCGCAAUGGGCGAAAGCCUGACGGAGCAACGCCGCGUGAGUGAUGAAGGUCUUCGGAUCGUAAAACUCUGUUAUUAGGGAAGAACAAAUGUGUAAGUAACUAUGCACGUCUUGACGGUACCUAAUCAGAAAGCCACGGCUAACUACGUG